UAAUAGCUUAGUCGGUAGAGCAUGUGACUCUUAAUCUCAGGGUGGUGGGUUGGGCAAAAAGAUCCCCACAUUUCAG
Podarcis lilfordi (Lilford's wall lizard) is the source of this 76-nucleotide non-coding RNA. NCBI's taxonomy places the organism in Eukaryota, Metazoa, Chordata, Lepidosauria, Squamata, Lacertidae. The record is from the annotation of a GenBank genome assembly.